RNAcentral lists this ribosomal RNA (1343 nucleotides) under uncultured bacterium. RNAcentral's name for it is "16S ribosomal RNA". It matches the Rfam family "Bacterial small subunit ribosomal RNA", at positions 28 to 1378 of the family's 1533-position model. The record is from RNAcentral.
GACGAACGUUGGCGGCGUGCUUAACACAUGCAAGUCGAACGGAAAGGCCCUGCUUUUGUGGGGUGCUCGAGUGGCGAACGGGUGAGUAACACGUGAGUAACCUGCCCUUGACUUUGGGAUAACUUCUGGAAACUGGGGCUAAUACCGGAUAGGAGCUCCUGCUGCAUGGUGGGGGUUGGAAAGUUUCGGCGGUUGGGGAUGGACUCGCGGCUUAUCAGCUUGUUGGUGGGGUAGUGGCUUACCAAGGCUUUGACGGGUAGCCGGCCUGAGAGGGUGACCGGCCACAUUGGGACUGAGAUACGGCCCAGACUCCUACGGGAGGCAGCAGUGGGGAAUAUUGCACAAUGGGCGGAAGCCUGAUGCAGCAACGCCGCGUGCGGGAUGACGGCCUUCGGGUUGUAAACCGCUUUCGCCUGUGACGAAGCGUGAGUGACGGUAAUGGGUAAAGAAGCACCGGCUAACUACGUGCCAGCAGCCGCGGUGAUACGUAGGGUGCGAGCGUUGUCCGGAUUUAUUGGGCGUAAAGGGCUCGUAGGUGGUUGAUCGCGUCGGAAGUGUAAUCUUGGGGCUUAACCCUGAGCGUGCUUUCGAUACGGGUUGACUUGAGGAAGGUAGGGGAGAAUGGAAUUCCUGGUGGAGCGGUGGAAUGCGCAGAUAUCAGGAGGAACACCAGUGGCGAAGGCGGUUCUCUGGGCCUUUCCUGACGCUGAGGAGCGAAAGCGUGGGGAGCGAACAGGCUUAGAUACCCUGGUAGUCCACGCUGUAAACGGUGGGUACUAGGUGUGGGGUCCAUUCCACGGGUUCCGUGCCGUAGCUAACGCUUUAAGUACCCCGCCUGGGGAGUACGGCCGCAAGGCUAAAACUCAAAGGAAUUGACGGGGCCCCGCACAAGCGGCGGAGCAUGCGGAUUAAUUCGAUGCAACGCGUAGAACCUUACCUGGGUUUGACAUGGAUCGGGAGUGCUCAGAGAUGGGUGUGCCUCUUUUGGGGUCGGUUCACAGGUGGUGCAUGCCUGUCGUCAGCUCGUGUCGUGAGAUGUUGGGUUAAGUCCCGCAACGAGCGCAACCCUUGUUCACUGUUGCCAGCACGUUAUGGUGGGGACUCAGUGGAGACCGCCGGGGUCAACUCGGAGGAAGGUGGGGAUGACGUCAAGUCCUCAUGCCCCUUAUGUCCAGGGCUUCACGCAUGCUACAAUGGCUGGUACAGAGAGUGGCGAGCCUGUGAGGGUGAGCGAAUCUCGGAAAGCCGGUCUCAGUUCGGAUUGGGGUCUGCAACUCGACCUCAUGAAGUCGGAGUCGCUAGUAAUCGCAGAUCAGCAACGCUGCGGUGAAUACGUUCCCGGG